This 33-nucleotide ribosomal RNA is filed under the name Schizothyrium emperorae. RNAcentral describes it as "partial 28S ribosomal RNA". The record is from RNAcentral. Lineage: Eukaryota; Fungi; Ascomycota; Dothideomycetes; Mycosphaerellales; Schizothyriaceae.
GUGACCUCGGAUCGGGUAAGGUACUACUAAGGU